CACAAGCGGUGGAGUAUGUGGCUUAAUUCGAUGCAACGCGAAGAACCUUACCUGGUCUUGACAUCCCGGAGACCCUUAGGAAACUAGGGGGUGCUUCCAUCUGGAAGAAUCUGGAGACAGGUGCUGCAUGGCUGUCGUCAGCUCGUGUCGUGAGAUGUUGGGUUAAGUCCCGCAACGAGCGCAACCCUUGCCUUUAGUUGCCAGCAGUUCGGCUGGGCACUCUAAAGGGACUGCCGGUGUUAAACCGGAGGAAGGUGGGGAUGACGUCAAGUCCUCAUGGCCUUUAUGACCAGGGCUACACACGUACUACAAUGGCCGAUACAAAGGGCAGCGACACUGCGAGGUGAAGCCAAUCCCGUAAAAUCGGUCUCAGUCCGGAUUGGAGUCUGCAACUCGACUCCAUGAAGUUGGAAUCGCUAGUAAUCGUGGAUCAGCUACGUUGCGGUGAAUACGUUCCCGGGCCUU
Molecule: ribosomal RNA, 465 nt
Filed under: uncultured Desulfobulbus sp.
Lineage: Bacteria; Pseudomonadati; Thermodesulfobacteriota; Desulfobulbia; Desulfobulbales; Desulfobulbaceae
Description: bacterial SSU rRNA
Rfam family: Bacterial small subunit ribosomal RNA
Source: RNAcentral